This 76-nucleotide transfer RNA is filed under the name Dasania marina. It matches the Rfam family "tRNA". Rfam says of the family: Transfer RNA (tRNA) molecules are approximately 80 nucleotides in length. Their secondary structure includes four short double-helical elements and three loops (D, anti-codon, and T loops). The record is from RNAcentral. RNAcentral also lists the same sequence under 15 other names. Lineage: Bacteria; Pseudomonadati; Pseudomonadota; Gammaproteobacteria; Cellvibrionales; Spongiibacteraceae.
GCGGGAAUAGCUCAGUUGGUAGAGCGCGACCUUGCCAAGGUCGAGGUCGCCGGUUCGAACCCGGUUUCCCGCUCCA